This 1402-nucleotide small RNA is filed under the name Cryptococcus neoformans H99. Its description in RNAcentral is "Cryptococcus neoformans var. grubii H99 hypothetical RNA". The record is from RNAcentral. Lineage: Eukaryota; Fungi; Basidiomycota; Tremellomycetes; Tremellales; Cryptococcaceae.
CUAUCAAUCAUAUUUUGGCAAAAGCUAUAGCCUUCCUAACACGGCCUGCAAAUGUCGUAAAAUGCGCUGAAGACCAAGCUUCCGCUUGUCACAUUCAAUAUCAUCUGCAUCUUUCUCGAACUAGGAAGCGUUAAAACUUAUAACAAUUAGACAUAAUUAUUUGGAACAACUACUUGAAACACUUCAAAACAUGUCUUAGGUCUUUCUUCAUCUUAUCUGGUCAUCAGCGAGUCGUGUAGCCUCCAUUUGCUGGGACGCGCAAAAUGUCAACAACAAAGCUCCUUGUCAUCCAAUAUAUCGACUUACAGAAGAUGAUUUGUCCGGUAAUCCAUUUAUCUUUACAAAGGAACUCCACUAAUGGUGCAAUAUCUUUAAUAUCUGUGAGCCGUCCUGUGAGCGCCUGGCUCUUAUGGUAAGCAACGGCGUCUUCAGUCUCUUGCCCGUAGAAAAAGGGAGUGUCCAUGGGCCCCGGGGCCACACAGUUGACCCUAAUAUUCUUAGGCUGAAGCCUAUAAUUUAAAAAUUCUGAUUUAGUGAACCACUCUACAGGAGCUUUACUGCCUUGAUAUGUUGAAUAAUCAGGCGCAAAUGCUCCAAGGAGUGAAGUCACGAGUGAUAUGAUCGUGCCCUCCUCGUUGAGACUCCUGGCCGCAUGCUUAAUAAAAAAGAAGGCACACUUUGAGUUGACGAGGAACAUGUUAUCGAAUUCCUGCUCUGUUGUUUCAACGAUAGGCUUUUUGAGCACCUUACCGACCGUAUUGAUGGCGAUAUCGAACUUUGACACUCCAAGAGCAGCUGCUGCGUCUGAGAAGAGUCUAUCAGAAGUGAUAUCAGCAGCUGCUCAAACAAUUAAUGGAAUAUGAGACAAAAAUCACUUCUCAAUUGAUGCCUCGGUGGUAAGAUCGGCCUGGAAAGCAGCGGCUUUGACCCCGUAAGAUUCGAGUGCCUUCAAUGUAGCUUCUGUCUCGGACUUGGAACUGUUCAUUUAUCAAUAACCAUACCUGGCCGGCCAAUAAACAACCUACCUGGGGGAGUUGUAAUGAAUAGCAAUGUUGACUCCCUGCUUGGCGAGAGUCUUCGCAAUCUGCGAGCAAAGCAGGGGUUUAGUCUUGGUCACUCGCAGUAUAAGCAAUUACUGCUGGGGCUUACCAAAGCACCAAGAUUCUUACCACCACCAGCGAUGACUACAAUCUUGGUUCAGCAUCUGCAAGUGAUAAUACCACUAGGAUAAAGAACGCCUUAUUUACCGGCAGCUUGGCCUCGGAGAUCAGUCGAUGACAUUCUUGUAUUUCUGCUGAAGGUUCUCUUGUGUGUGGUCUAUUGAUCUCUGUUCUAGAAUGAUGACAAGUUUAUCUUGCUGGAGGCGGGAGGCGCAUGCAUGCUAGCAGUCUUUUUCACGCAG